AACAAUUCCUUGAUGCUUUGAACUUCCAAUCUUCCACCGACGACAACCGGCAAAAGGGAAAAUCUGUCUAUCAGACUUCAGUUAAGCUUGAAAUGGGUCAAUCUUCAUCGGCCGAGCAAGUGUCGCCGGAGCAACGGGAAGCAGAAUCUGUAGCUGCUUCAACUGGAGCUCUUCCUAAUCUUAAGAAAGCUUUCUCUGUUCUUUCUGAUCCUCAAACUCACUCCAUCCCCAUUCAUUCCCUUCAAAAAUGUUUUGGGUUCUCUAUUGAUGGAUCAACAAACGAAGAGUCUGUAGUGCCAAAGGAAUUUCCAGUUUUGAUGAGUAAUUUGAGUUCUUCAAUAGUUGACUUGUUUUUCUUGUCUGAAAAGGGAGGUAUCAGUUGGGUUGAGUUUCUAAAGGGCCAUAUAAAGUGUUCUGGAAGGACAGUUAGUUCAGCUUCACUUAAUAGUUUGUUGAGGUUAUUUGGGAUGGUAUCUGUUAAGGCAGGUCUUCCAGAAAAACUACAGGUCGUUUCCGAUGAGGAUGAUUGUAAAAUCAGCGGAUUUUUAUUGCCAGUUGAUGUUCAGAUGCUUCUUUCUAUGUGUUGGAUUAUGUGGUGGGACUCGAACAAGUUGAAGGCUUCAUCUAGUUUAGGUGAUUCUGGUCUUCCUGAUGUUACACAUUUGGUUUUGUCAGCUAUAAACUCUUGUGCCGAAGCAGAUAAAAAAAUGGAUUUAUGGGAUAACAGCAUUUUAGAUAUGGAUAUACAACUUCCUGUUGCAAAAAUUAUAAUGUGGGCUUUGAAGACAGUGCCAAGCCUCUCCGAUUGCUUUGGAAAAUUUGUCCACGCUAGACUGUUUUACGUAGCCGCUCACGAGGAAAAACUUGACCAAGUGGACCUUUUCUCACAUGAUAUUUCUGCAAAGGAAAGGAGCGUUGGCCAUCUCCUUAAUUCUGGAAGGGCUUGGGCUAUCUCACUUACAUUGAGGGGCAAUUUAAGUGAAGAAAUUUCAAAAGUAUGCUUUCCAAGUGCUGCAGAGGAAGUAGAUGAUUACCUACUUUAUCGGUCUUCCCUUCAUGGAAAAGGUCUGAACAGAUUCUGGUCAAAUAUUGAAGGAUAUAAUGCUCCAUUGCUAAUUCUUAUCUCUGCUCAUGAGGCCAAUAAUGACGCAAGGAGAUGGACUAUUGGUGCUCUCAUUCAUCAGGGUUUAGAAAAUCAUGACACUUUCUAUGGGACUUCUGGUAGUUUAUACUCCAUCAGUCCAGUUUUUCAUGUAUUCACACCUUCAGGAAAGGAGAAAAACUUUGUUUACAGCCACUUGCAUGGAACCGUUAAAUAUGAAGCUCAUCCAAAGCCUGUCGGACUUGCUUUUGGAGGAUCCUCUGGCAAUGAAAGAAUAUUUGUGGAUGAAGAUUUUGCUAAAGUUAUAGUUCGUCAUCAUGCUUGUGACAAAACUUACCAUCAUGGUCCUCUUUACCCUGACCAGGGGUUCUUACCGGUUGAAGCUCUGAUUAUGGACGUGGAGGUAUUGGGAUUGGGAGGAAAAAGGGCUAGAGAUAUUCAGUCAUCGUACAAAAAGAGGGAAGAACUCUUUACUGAGCAAAGACGAAAGGUUGACUUGAAAACAUUUGGAAAUUGGGAAGAUUCCCCCGAGAAAAUGAUGAUGGAUAUGGUUUCUGACCCUAACAGAGUUCGUAGAGAAGAUCGAUGAGUUGAUUCUUCCCUAGAAGAGAUUUCACACGAUCCAGGACUUCUAUCUUAAUGUAUAUAUAAGGAGAUGUUGGAGUUUUAUGUGCUACUACACUUUGAAUAAGAUUUGUAUGUUUGGCUAUAUAAGUCUGUAUUUCACCCACUCUCUGUUAUCUGUUGUGUCAAAAGUAAGUUUAUAUAGUACACAAACAUAAUGCAUAUUAUGUAUAAGAUGUAAACUAGAUUUGAG
Molecule: unclassified non-coding RNA, 1919 nt
Filed under: Hevea brasiliensis (rubber tree)
Lineage: Eukaryota; Viridiplantae; Streptophyta; Magnoliopsida; Malpighiales; Euphorbiaceae
Source: RNAcentral